GGAGAAGGGCCAUAGCUCAGUGGUAAAGUAUCUGCCUUGCAAGCAGAAGGUCCCAGGUUCAAUUCCCAGCAUCUCCA
This 77-nucleotide transfer RNA is filed under the name Podarcis lilfordi (Lilford's wall lizard). RNAcentral describes it as "tRNA.Ala". It matches the Rfam family "tRNA". Rfam says of the family: Transfer RNA (tRNA) molecules are approximately 80 nucleotides in length. The record is from RNAcentral. Lineage: Eukaryota; Metazoa; Chordata; Lepidosauria; Squamata; Lacertidae.